CUUCCUGAAGCCUUAAAAAUUGGGUUCUGCCCCACAGCACCUCCUGGGAAAUAUCCUAAUGGUUUCAGAGAUGUGCUGAGGGAGCUGAUCCGGGAUGAAGGAGUCACAUCCUUGUACAAAGGGUUCAAUGCAGUGAUGAUCCGAGCCUUCCCAGCCAAUGCGGCCUGUUUCCUUGGCUUUGAAGUUGCCAUGAAGUUCCUUAAUUGGGCCACCCCCAACUUGUGAGGCUGAAGGCUGCUCAAGUUCACUUCUGGAUGCUGGAAGCUGUCGUUGAGGAGAAGGAGUAGUAGGCAGAACUAAGCAGUCUUGGAGGGCAAGGGGAGGGGAAUGGUGAGAUCCGAGCCCUGUGCAUGGACUUGGUGAGACUGUUGCCUUAAUGACAUCCUGCACCGUGUAUAACUUAGUGUGUCAUUUUGAAACUUGAAUUCAUUCUUAUCAAUUUAAGGGAUCUUAAAAGGAUUUGGAAAUGGAACAAGUAGCUUCCAGACCAGAUACUACCUGUGGCAAGAAUGCUGCCUACCAGUUAACUGCUGGUCCUACCACAGUCAAAGUAUUCCUCAUUAAAGAGAGAAUCUCAGGUUCUCACUGGAGGCACUGUGCAUAUUUUCAACCAGAUCACCAGGAGCUGAGAUCUUCUUCAGUCCCUAGCCAGGAAUACCCAUUUGAUUUCCAGGGUGCCAUCUAAUCCUGGGCU
This 694-nucleotide small RNA is filed under the name Pan troglodytes (chimpanzee). RNAcentral's name for it is "retained intron". The record is from RNAcentral. Lineage: Eukaryota; Metazoa; Chordata; Mammalia; Primates; Hominidae.